Molecule: long non-coding RNA, 1959 nt
Filed under: Oryzias sinensis (Chinese medaka)
Lineage: Eukaryota; Metazoa; Chordata; Actinopteri; Beloniformes; Adrianichthyidae
Description: lncRNA (ENSOSIG00000012471.1)
Source: RNAcentral
UUAACCCUUGUGCUAUCUUAGAUGACCCCACCCUCACAUUGACGUGUUCUCCCUACCAUGACAAAGGUGGAUAAAGGUGGAANNNNNNNNNNAGAUUUCAUGUAAUCCAUGGACACCAGUGAAGAUCACAAAUCAUUGAAGGAAAAAGGUUCAGAGCACUGUCUAGUGGGUCUAAAUGACCCAACUCCCAACGUUAAAGUGCCUAGGAUAGCACAAGGGUUACAGGAUCCUAAUGGCUUUGCUUGAUUGGACUUUAUCCAGGUACACACAUGUCCCGCCACAGUCAAAAACAUGCAGCUGAGAAAAGCUGUAAUUACAAUAUCAACUUGUCUAACUUUGACAGUGAAUGCAAUUGAUGUUUACCUUUUUGGGAGUUAUUUUUACGGCGGCAUGGCGUUUGGCUGACAUUUCCAAAGGGCCUCCUGUCUCAAAGCCUGUGAUCAUCAUAAAAGGCUUGUCCUUCUGCAGCCCUGUGAUUAAAGUAUUAAAAAUAACCAAAGGAAUAAAUGGAAAGCAGAAUUUACAUUCCUCAAAUUCACAGAAGUUACAAGUAAGGACCACUAGGAGGAGAUGACACACAAGAAUCUGAUCUCCAUCUGCCUGUGCUUAGUUAUCUGUAAUCUGAAGAGGAUGAUAAAAUGUGCAUUUCUUCUUAAGAGUGUGAUCUGAGCAUAAAGGAUGAAGGAAAGGGAAAAUAAUAUGUAGAGUGUCAAGGUUAUUUCUGAAAACACAAGACAGUAUUAACAAAGGAAACAGACGCCAAGAGACAGGUACGAUUUCUCAUGAGGAGAGCUGGAAACAGACAACCCUUCUGCUCCAAACCGCUCUUCCUAAGGGUGACUGCCUCGCACUUUUAUUCAGUUCUCCCUGGUUACAUGGUGAGUGAUUUAUCUAUAAGUCACAUAAGGCGCAUUAAGAGAGAUAAAAAAGUUAGAGGUAAGUACAUCAGUCAGUCAGACUUGAGUAACUAAGGUGGUUGUCAAUAAUUUUCUGCUGUAAUCACAGGAAGUUCUGUGUUUCAUGAUCAAAUUAUCUCACAUUCCAGACACUUCUUUCCUUACUGCUGAAGUGAUCACUUUUCUGAAAUGGCACACGGAAAGAUUCUAACACAAACAACUUUAAUUAUGUAAGAAAAACAGAACAUGCAAACGUUCUUAAAAACAGAAGUUUGAAUAAUAAAGAAAAUAUAUACAUUUAACAUAGAGUUAUUGCAUAACUCCAGAAAUCCUGUUUCAGGGCCUGCUUAUGUAAUUUUUUUCAAUUACAUUUUUUCUGCAACAGUAUCAUAGAGUUUUAAAACUCUAAUCCUUGUAGAUUUUUUAUUGUAUAUUUAAAACUUACCCAGACAUUCAAAUUCAACCUUUGGGUUGAAAAUAUGAAUGAAAUGUCAAUCAUGUUGAUGACUUUUUUGAAGAAAUAUUAAAAGAAAAUUGUACACUUACUUAUUCAGGAAAUUGUUUUUUUAUUCAUCGUCAUUUUGAAAAGAGCAGACAGUUUUCAACUUCUUAUAGCUUCAAAUCAAGUAAAAAAAUCCUCCAGCUCUGAGUGUUGAUAUAAAAAACAAAAGCGUUUCAAAUAUAGAAACUAGUGUCUUGAGGUUUAGUCACAGCAAAUGGACUCAACAUCAAGAUGUCACGAGGAUAACUGAAAACCUUAACCAACAGAAUGUGUAAAAUAUGAACUGCAUCCCAUAAUGUUACAACCUGUUCAAUAAAAUCUGAUAGCAGGAACUUCCAACAUUGUACAUUUUUGUUAAUAUUCAGAAAUUACAAUUACAAAUUUUCACCAGUCAUCCACAGAUUUGCAGACAAUUUUUUUAGUUUUUGAGAGAAUCCUAAGAAAUUUAAAAUUUGAUGUUUAGACUUUGAUUUAGAGAUGUGGUGUAUAUAUUAAGUAGGAAUUAGAUGAACUAAUUCUAGCAAAGCAGUAGUUGCUGGCAUGACCAAAGUUGGCCCCACA